This 86-nucleotide transfer RNA is filed under the name Rhodocollybia butyracea. It matches the Rfam family "tRNA". Rfam says of the family: Transfer RNA (tRNA) molecules are approximately 80 nucleotides in length. The record is from Rfam by way of RNAcentral. Lineage: Eukaryota; Fungi; Basidiomycota; Agaricomycetes; Agaricales; Omphalotaceae.
GACCCCGUAGCUCAGCGGUAGAGCGUGAGAUUCCAGUGUGAAGACUUGUUUCCUCAAGGUCAUCCGUUCAAUCCGGGUCGGGGUCA